RNAcentral lists this long non-coding RNA (1206 nucleotides) under Anas platyrhynchos platyrhynchos (common mallard). RNAcentral describes it as "lncRNA (ENSAPLG00000019428.1)". The record is from RNAcentral. Lineage: Eukaryota; Metazoa; Chordata; Aves; Anseriformes; Anatidae.
AUGGGGGAUGCUGGCAGAGGUCACUGCCCGCACAGAGCUGAGCCAAGCUCCCCAGCAAACUGCUCCUUGGCAAAGGGUCUGGGCGCACCUGAGGGUGCAAAUCCCCUCUGCAAGGCACCUCCACACCUCGUGCUGGUUGGUUUUGAGGCCAAAAGAGGAUGCGAGACCUCCCCAAACAGCAAAGGAAGGUGCAGCGACGCUCCGAGCAGCAUCCCUGGCAGCUUUCCCCAAAAAACAUGUACUCUGUGCAGAAUUCAGGCUCAAAAGGGGUUCAGCCCCCCUCCUCCCCUAGAGCACACAGGGUGCAAACGUGUCACCCCGGCCACACCUGGGAGCAGGCAGCAAGAACCCAGGUCCCCAGGGCAGCACGCUGCGCCGUGCCACGGCGCGGGGACGUCCCCGCUGCAGCUGGAAGGAUGCUCCACGAUCCCGCGGGCCAAGACGAAACCUCGGCUCAUCAAAAGCAGCCGAGGAGAACAAGGCAGAGCUAUUUCCAGAGCGUCUCUGCUAGGAAAACAGAAGUCACUUCAUCAUAACGGCAGUUCCUCUCUGCGGCGUGACAAUCCUAUUUAUACAGCCGGAACGUCGCCUUCAGUCACUUCACCGGCUCAAAUGCCUCCCUUGGGAUUUUUCUCCCCAUUCAGAGCCUACGGAGAGCAUUCAGAGGGUAGGAAGUGCUUCGAGAGGAAGAUUUUGAGGGGCUGCUGCUCAAAGCUUCACGUGCCAGGGGAUGCUCCGUGCUCCCAGGCUAGGGAAUGCUCUGCUGUGCGCCGUGCACUCAGCAAGGUGCCCGCACGUGGAGGCAUCGCAAGCAGCCUGGGCUUGCUGGGGGCUGAUGCUGGGGUUUUCCCUCCUGGGACAUGCAGGGUGUUGGGUGGUGUUGGGUUGUACUGGUUUGCACUGGUUGUACUGGGUGCUCCUUGUCUUCAGCAGAUGAGGAAGGGCAGCAGCGAGGACGAUCCCUGCACACCAAGGGCCACGUCCCCAGGUCCUCAGCGUCCCCCUGGCCACCAAACCCAGGUGUGGGAGGGUGCCUGGUCCCCAUUUAGCUCCCACAGCAUCUCCAGCGAGGGGCCGCGCUCCCAGCAGGUCCCUACCACUCCCUUCCCCUGCCCUCAGCACCACAUCGGUGCCCUAAAGGCGCUGGAAAUAUUCAGAAUAACUGCACCUGCAGGUGGCUUUUUCCAGGUGAGGACACCCAGCUAA